RNAcentral lists this unclassified non-coding RNA (201 nucleotides) under Hevea brasiliensis (rubber tree). Lineage: Eukaryota; Viridiplantae; Streptophyta; Magnoliopsida; Malpighiales; Euphorbiaceae. The record is from RNAcentral.
AUAAUAAUUUUAAAUGAUGUAUAAAUGUUUAUAAAUAGAGUUUUAGAAUAUAUAAAAUAAAAAUUGAUAAAAUUAGGGAUAAAUUUAUAUAUUUAUAAUUAUAGAAUAGAUGUUUAUUAAGUUUUAAUUUAGGUUUUGUGUUAGGUAUAGUAGAUAUAAAUAGUAAUAUAAGAUUUUGUUUUUAAAGAGUUUUUAUUUUAA